GGGUGCGUAACGCGUAUGCAACCUACCCUUUACAGGGGGAUAACACUGAGAAAUCGGUACUAAUACCCCAUAAUAUUCUGGGAGGCAUCUUUCGGAGUUGAAAGCUUUGGUGGUAAAGGAUGGGCAUGCGUUGUAUUAGCUAGUUGGUAAGGUAACGGCUUACCAAGGCGACGAUACAUAGGGGGACUGAGAGGUUAACCCCCCACAUUGGUACUGAGACACGGACCAAACUCC
This 234-nucleotide ribosomal RNA is filed under the name uncultured Alistipes sp. RNAcentral describes it as "partial 16S ribosomal RNA". It matches the Rfam family "Bacterial small subunit ribosomal RNA", at positions 104 to 339 of the family's 1533-position model. The record is from RNAcentral. Lineage: Bacteria; Pseudomonadati; Bacteroidota; Bacteroidia; Bacteroidales; Rikenellaceae.